UAGGCAAGCUCUCCACUCUUCAGCCCCAGC
Molecule: non-coding RNA, 30 nt
Filed under: Rattus norvegicus (Norway rat)
Lineage: Eukaryota; Metazoa; Chordata; Mammalia; Rodentia; Muridae
Source: RNAcentral